RNAcentral lists this ribosomal RNA (714 nucleotides) under uncultured bacterium. RNAcentral's name for it is "bacterial SSU rRNA". It matches the Rfam family "Bacterial small subunit ribosomal RNA", at positions 8 to 717 of the family's 1533-position model. The record is from RNAcentral.
AGAGUUUGAUCAUGGCUCAGAUUGAACGCUGGCGGCAUGCCUUACACAUGCAAGUCGAACGGCAGCACGGGAGCUUGCUCCUGGUGGCGAGUGGCGAACGGGUGAGUAAAGCAUCGGAACGUACCCAGUCAUGGGGGAUAACGUAGCGAAGUUACGCUAAUACCGCAUACGACCUGAGGGUGAAGCAGGGGAUCGCAAGACCUUGCGUGAUUGGAGCGGCCGAUGUCGGAUUAGCUAGUUGGUGGGGUAAAGGCCUACCAAGGCGACGAUCCGUAGCGGGUCUGAGAGGAUGAUCCGCCACACUGGGACUGAGACACGGCCCAGACUCCUACGGGAGGCAGCAGUGGGGAAUUUUGGACAAUGGGGGAAACCCUGAUCCAGCCAUGCCGCGUGGGUGAAGAAGGCCUUCGGGUUGUAAAGCCCUUUCGGACGGAAAGAAAUCGUCGUCUCUAAUAGAGGCGGUGGAUGACGGUACCGUAAGAAGAAGCACCGGCUAACUACGUGCCAGCAGCCGCGGUAAUACGUAGGGUGCGAGCGUUAAUCGGAAUUACUGGGCGUAAAGCGUGCGCAGGCGGUUUUUUAAGCCAGAUGUGAAAUCCCCGGGCUUAACCUGGGAAUUGCAUUUGGAACUGGAAGACUAGAGUGCGGCAGAGGGGGGUGGAAUUCCUGGUGUAGCAGUGAAAUGCGUAGAGAUCAGGAGGAACACCGAUGGCG